AAGUCGUAACAAGGUUUCCGUAGGUGAACCUGCGGAAGGAUCAUUGCUGAGCGUGGUGCCCUCCUCCGUGCUCGCGCACGGUCGAGGCACCUUUCUCACUACCUAACCCAUGUGAACUCGUGAAUGUGACUGGAGCCAGCCUCACACGGCUGGUUUCCUUUUUAACAAUCACCACAAUCAACGUCUUCUCUGACUGAGAUAAAAGGGUUCAUGUAACAGUGAACCUGAAACAAGACAAACUAUCACAACUUUUAACAACGGAUAUCUUGGCUCGC
RNAcentral lists this unclassified non-coding RNA (275 nucleotides) under fungal sp. RNAcentral describes it as "partial internal transcribed spacer region". The stretch from base 1 to 46 matches the Rfam family "Eukaryotic small subunit ribosomal RNA", at positions 1786 to 1831 of the family's 1831-position model. Lineage: Eukaryota; Fungi. The record is from RNAcentral.